This 70-nucleotide transfer RNA is filed under the name Gekko subpalmatus. RNAcentral's name for it is "tRNA-Pro". Lineage: Eukaryota; Metazoa; Chordata; Lepidosauria; Squamata; Gekkonidae. The record is from RNAcentral.
CAAAAAAUAGUUUAAUUAAAAAUUCUAGUUUUGGGGACUAGAGAUAAGUUUUUUGCCGACUUUUUUUUGA